Molecule: ribosomal RNA, 497 nt
Filed under: uncultured bacterium
Lineage: Bacteria
Description: partial 16S ribosomal RNA
Rfam family: Bacterial small subunit ribosomal RNA
Source: RNAcentral
GAUGAACGCUGGCGGCGUGCCUAAUACAUGCAAGUCGAGCGAACAGACGAGGAGCUUGCUCCUCUGACGUUAGCGGCGGACGGGUGAGUAACACGUGGAUAACCUACCUAUAAGACUGGGAUAACUUCGGGAAACCGGAGCUAAUACCGGAUAAUAUAUUGAACCGCAUGGUUCAAUAGUGAAAUACGGUUUUGCUGUCACUUAUAGAUGGAUCCGCGCCGCAUUAGCUAGUUGGUAAGGUAACGGCUUACCAAGGCAACGAUGCGUAGCCGACCUGAGAGGGUGAUAGGCCACACUGGAACGGAGACACGGUCCAGACGCCUAAGGGAGGCAGCAGUAGGGAAUGUGACGCAAUGGGCGAAAGCCUGACGGAGCAACGCCGCGUGAAUGAUGAAGGUCUUCGGAUCGUAAAACUCUGUUAUGAGGGAAGAACAAAUGUGUAAGGAAAUAUGCACGUCGUGACGGUACCUAAUCAGAAAGCCACGGCUAACUACGUG